Molecule: ribosomal RNA, 440 nt
Filed under: uncultured bacterium
Lineage: Bacteria
Description: partial 16S ribosomal RNA
Rfam family: Bacterial small subunit ribosomal RNA
Source: RNAcentral
CCUACGGGAGGCAGCAGUGGGGGAUAUUGCACAAUGGGGGGAACCCUGAUGCAGCGACGCCGCGUGGGUGAAGAAGCGCCUCGGCGCGUAAAGCCCUGUCAGCAGGGAAGAAACUGACGGUACCUGUAGAAGAAGCCCCGGCUAACUACGUGCCAGCAGCCGCGGUAAUACGUAGGGGGCAAGCGUUAGUCGGAUUUACUGGGGGGAAAGGGGGCGCAGGCGGGGAUGCAAGGCAGGAGUGAAAGCCGGGGGACCAACCCCGGGACUGCGCUUGAAACUGGGUGGCUGGAGUGCAGGAGGGGCAGGCGGAAUUCCUGGUGUAGCGGUGAAAUGCGUAGAUAUCAGGAGGAACACCGGUGGCGAAGGCGGCCUGCUGGACUGCAACUGACGUUGAGGCCCGAAAGCGUGGGGAGCAAACAGGAUUAGAUACCCUAGUAGUC